CCCUUAGAUGUCCUGGGCUGCACGCGCGCUACACUGAUGUGUCCAGUAAGCACCUAACCUCUUCCGAAAGGAACGGGUAACCUUUGCAAAGCACAUCGUGAUGGGGAUAGAUUAUUGCAAUUAUUAGUCUUGAACGAGGAAUUCCUAGUAAGCACAAGUCAUCAGCUUGUGUUGAUUACGUCCCUACCCUUUGUACACACCGCCCGUCGCUCCUACCGAUUGGAUGUUCCGGUGAGCUCUUCGGACUGCGCGGUCUGCAGUUUCUGCGUUCCGUGCGGAAAGUUGCGCAAACCUUAACAUUUAGAGGAAGGAGAAGUCGUAACA
RNAcentral lists this ribosomal RNA (324 nucleotides) under uncultured eukaryote. Its description in RNAcentral is "partial 18S ribosomal RNA". It matches the Rfam family "Eukaryotic small subunit ribosomal RNA", at positions 1470 to 1796 of the family's 1831-position model. The record is from RNAcentral.